RNAcentral lists this small RNA (418 nucleotides) under uncultured Glomus. RNAcentral's name for it is "SSU rRNA". It matches the Rfam family "Eukaryotic small subunit ribosomal RNA", at positions 569 to 986 of the family's 1831-position model. Lineage: Eukaryota; Fungi; Glomeromycota; Glomeromycetes; Glomerales; Glomeraceae. The record is from RNAcentral.
AGCAGCCGCGGUAAUUCCAGCUCCAAUAGCGUAUAUUGAAGUUGUUGCAGUUAGAAAGCUCGUAGUUGAAUUUCGGGGUUAGUAGGUUGGUCAUGCCUCUGGUAUGUACUGGUCUCACUGAUUCCUCCUUCCUGAUGAACCGUAAUGCCAUUAAUUUGGUGUUGGCGGGGUAAUUUGGACUGUUACUUUAGAAAAAUUAGAGUAGUUUAAAGCAAGCUAACGCUUGAAUACAUUAGCAUGGAAUAAUGAAAUAGGACGUUCGAUCCUUAUUUUGUUGGUUUCUAGGAUUGACGUAAUGAUUAAUAGGGAUAGUUGGGGGGCAUUAGUAUUCAAUUGUCAGAGGUGAAAUUCUUGGAUUUAUUGAAGACUAACUACUGCGAAAGCAUUUGCCAAGGAUGUUUUCAUUAAUCAAGAACGA